GUGCUCACUUUGGCAGCACAUAUUCUAAAAUUGGAACAAUAGAAAGAAGAUUAGCAUGGCCCCUGCAGAAAGGAUGCAUCCAAAUUUGCAAAGUAACCUAUAUUUUU
Molecule: small nuclear RNA, 107 nt
Organism: Phodopus roborovskii (desert hamster)
Lineage: Eukaryota; Metazoa; Chordata; Mammalia; Rodentia; Cricetidae
Source: RefSeq, a predicted model, not a curated record